Podarcis lilfordi (Lilford's wall lizard) is the source of this 69-nucleotide non-coding RNA. The record is from the annotation of a GenBank genome assembly. NCBI's taxonomy places the organism in Eukaryota, Metazoa, Chordata, Lepidosauria, Squamata, Lacertidae.
GCUGUAGCUCAGUGGAAGAGCGUCUACUUUGCGUGCAGAAGGUCCCAGGUUGAAACCCCAGCAUAUCCA